AUACUGGCAAAAUUUGUAUAAAAUGACUUUUCGCCCCGAGACAUUUCACAGUCACUCGAAAAUCUCUCAAAGUGAACGUUAGGUACCUACCUAUACCUAUUUUCUCAAUUUUUUCAACAAAAUUUACCUUCAACUACUCGUAGUUCGUCGUCAUGUCGAAGUUAUUCGGUUCUUUGUUAAUUUUCUCGCUCGUUUUGAUUCACGAAAACGAUGCAUUCCGUGGAAGAAAUUCGUUCGAAGAUAGAGUAAGAAACUGCGAAAGGCUAUGCGGAUGGCCCCGUCUUCCUCAGUUACCACCGAGACCAACUUUACCUGCGGCUUUUCCAACGUUACCUGCAGCUUUUCCAACGCUACCUGCAGAUUUCCCAACAUUGCCUGCAGGUUUUCCAACAUUGCCUCCUGCACGUCCUUUUGGCCCAUCGAGAAAUGAUAAUAAGAAAUGUCUGGUUCUUCUCGAUCACAACAAUGCUACGAUUACUUUGUGCGGGGCACACUGUUUGGAAUCGACUAGUAAACGAGAAACACUGGGAAGAACAGUCGAUUGUGAAUGCCGAAAUCGUCAAUGUAUCCCUUCAAACGAUCAGCCGACAACUACACCUGCUGCGACAACUCCAAUUUCAACCACACCAACUCCCGCAAGUACAGGUCCAACCACACCAGCUUCCACAACUCCAUCUUCAACCCCUCCAUCAUCUUCAACUCCUCCAUCUUCAACUACUCCAUCUUCAACCCCAUCUCCAGCACCUUAAUAAGGCGUAAAAAGCUUUAAAAUGAAUCAUUAUUUCAUCCUUAAAGAAUAAAGAUGUUGGAAAUUUUCAAGAUUUAGAUUAAGUGGGCUACUUAUUUAUCUAAUAAUUUUCCAUUUUUUCCCUUUAUUUUCAAUCUUUAAGGUAUAGUAUAUAAUUUUUCUCUUUAAAAACAAAAAAAAAAAAAAAAACUAUUUCAUGAAUGUUGCAUUUGUUACUUACAAUUAAUAAAUGAUCGUAUCCAAUUAAA
Molecule: long non-coding RNA, 996 nt
Organism: Planococcus citri (citrus mealybug)
Lineage: Eukaryota; Metazoa; Arthropoda; Insecta; Hemiptera; Pseudococcidae
Exons: 2
Source: RefSeq, a predicted model, not a curated record